This 1482-nucleotide ribosomal RNA is filed under the name Weissella confusa. RNAcentral's name for it is "bacterial SSU rRNA". It matches the Rfam family "Bacterial small subunit ribosomal RNA". Lineage: Bacteria; Bacillati; Bacillota; Bacilli; Lactobacillales; Lactobacillaceae. The record is from RNAcentral.
AUGACGCUGGCGGCGUGCUAAUACAUGCAAGUCGAACGCUUUGUGGUUCAACUGAUUUGAAGAGCUUGCUCAGAUAUGACGAUGGACAUUGCAAAGAGUGGCGAACGGGUGAGUAACACGUGGGAAACCUACCUCUUAGCAGGGGAUAACAUUUGGAAACAGAUGCUAAUACCGUAUAACAAUGACAACCGCAUGGUUGUUAUUUAAAAGAUGGUUCUGCUAUCACUAAGAGAUGGUCCCGCGGUGCAUUAGCUAGUUGGUAAGGUAAUGGCUUACCAAGGCGAUGAUGCAUAGCCGAGUUGAGAGACUGAUCGGCCACAAUGGGACUGAGACACGGCCCAUACUCCUACGGGAGGCAGCAGUAGGGAAUCUUCCACAAUGGGCGAAAGCCUGAUGGAGCAACGCCGCGUGUGUGAUGAAGGGUUUCGGCUCGUAAAACACUGUUGUAAGAGAAGAAUGACAUUGAGAGUAACUGUUCAAUGUGUGACGGUAUCUUACCAGAAAGGAACGGCUAAAUACGUGCCAGCAGCCGCGGUAAUACGUAUGUUCCAAGCGUUAUCCGGAUUUAUUGGGCGUAAAGCGAGCGCAGACGGUUAUUUAAGUCUGAAGUGAAAGCCCUCAGCUCAACUGAGGAAUUGCUUUGGAAACUGGAUGACUUGAGUGCAGUAGAGGAAAGUGGAACUCCAUGUGUAGCGGUGAAAUGCGUAGAUAUAUGGAAGAACACCAGUGGCGAAGGCGGCUUUCUGGACUGUAACUGACGUUGAGGCUCGAAAGUGUGGGUAGCAAACAGGAUUAGAUACCCUGGUAGUCCACACCGUAAACGAUGAGUGCUAGGUGUUUGAGGGUUUCCGCCCUUAAGUGCCGCAGCUAACGCAUUAAGCACUCCGCCUGGGGAGUACGACCGCAAGGUUGAAACUCAAAGGAAUUGACGGGGACCCGCACAAGCGGUGGAGCAUGUGGUUUAAUUCGAAGCAACGCGAAGAACCUUACCAGGUCUUGACAUCCCUUGACAACUCCAGAGAUGGAGCGUUCCCUUCGGGGACAAGGUGACAGGUGGUGCAUGGUUGUCGUCAGCUCGUGUCGUGAGAUGUUGGGUUAAGUCCCGCAACGAGCGCAACCCUUAUUACUAGUUGCCAGCAUUCAGUUGGGCACUCUAGUGAGACUGCCGGUGACAAACCGGAGGAAGGUGGGGAUGACGUCAAAUCAUCAUGCCCCUUAUGACCUGGGCUACACACGUGCUACAAUGGCGUAUACAACGAGUUGCCAACCCGCGAGGGUGAGCUAAUCUCUUAAAGUACGUCUCAGUUCGGAUUGUAGGCUGCAACUCGCCUACAUGAAGUCGGAAUCGCUAGUAAUCGCGGAUCAGCACGCCGCGGUGAAUACGUUCCCGGGUCUUGUACACACCGCCCGUCACACCAUGAGAGUUUGUAACACCCAAAGCCGGUGGGGUAACCUUCGGGAGCCAGCCGUCUAAGUGGGACA